GUUGUAGUGAUGGGAAGUUCGGAUCAUUUUACCGAAUCGGACUUUUGAGUCUCGUUCAGCAAAAUGAACGAAUCUUUUUUCGAGUCAUUUCAAAUGAACGAACAACCAGAAGGUUCAGGAAGAAAAAAACAAAGUGCUUGCAGUCUGUUUCACAUUAGGAGGCAUUUUGCUGCAUAAUCGAUCCACCACAAACCAUAUGCAACUAUGGAAGCUCAACUUCCAUUAAAUGGACUGAAAACGCUCAAGUAACGUUAUAGGAGACACUUUGACAAGUGGGCACUGGAUGCUGAGUAUUGAAGGCGAGGUGGUGUGUGAGGGCACUCAGCCCAGUUUCCUGUCCGGCCUUGCCACUCUGUUUGCUGCUUAUUACUAGUUUAAUCUUGAGUAUCAGGAGGAAGCAGUGUGUACCUUGGAGUUCAUUCAAAGGUGCUUUGUGGGCAUAAAUCCAGAGAGAGGACCCAAAGCCAAGGGAAAAGUGCCAUCGAAAUAAAAACAGGACAAGUGAUACAGAAGAAAAUGUGUGGCAGUCAACCCACAUGUUGCCACUCUUCUGUGCAAAUUCCAAUGGAAUUUCUGAAAUUCACACUUUGAAUCCUGGGAUGGAACUUCAUCUGGAGCAUAAUUGUUAUUUGGUUGAUUUUUAUCUGUUUGAUGGAAAGUUUGUAUGACUUCUGCAAGUGCGCGGCUCCUUCCGGUCAGUCAUGCAUCACUUUUUUUUGUAUGACUUGUUUGGCAAUAUUGGUCUAUUCCUUAAUGAUGAUAGCUAUCUGAAAAUGUCUUUGUGGUUUUUAAAGGAUUAGUUCACCCAAAAAUGAAAAUUAAGUCAAUAAUUACUUAUGUCGUUUCACACCCGUAAGAUCUUCGUUCAUCCUCACAACACAUAAUAAGAUGUGGCUCAGUGAAGCGUGCAUUUCUAGCAAGAUCAUUUCUUUUUUUCAAUGCCCAGAAAGCCUCUAAAACAUUUAAAACAAUUCAUGUGACUACAGUUGUUCAACCUAAAUAUUAUAAAGCGACGAGAAUACUUUUUUUGC
Long non-coding RNA from Carassius gibelio (silver crucian carp), 1031 nucleotides. RefSeq lists it as uncharacterized. The transcript is spliced from 4 exons. Lineage: Eukaryota; Metazoa; Chordata; Actinopteri; Cypriniformes; Cyprinidae. The record is from RefSeq and is a predicted model, not a curated record.